CAAAAUUCAAAUUUAAACCUCUGUGUUUUCAAUUGGAAUCCAAAUCAAAAUCCUCUCUUUGAAGUCCAAAUCAAAACCCAUUAAUUCUGAUGAAGAUAUGUGGCUCCAUCUAGCCAAAUAGGAAAACACCCCUGAUUCGAGUCCAGAGUGCAAAAGAAUCAAGUGUCGUUGUCCCAAUCAAGUGUUGGAUGAUGUUGAAGUUUCUUUCACGACCAGUCGUUGGAGUAGGUUCUUCAGUGAAUGAUCUGCGCAACGGCGAUAAGGAGAAGAAGAUGAGGAG
RNAcentral lists this unclassified non-coding RNA (280 nucleotides) under Hevea brasiliensis (rubber tree). Lineage: Eukaryota; Viridiplantae; Streptophyta; Magnoliopsida; Malpighiales; Euphorbiaceae. The record is from RNAcentral.